This is a long non-coding RNA of Orcinus orca (killer whale), 827 nucleotides long. RefSeq lists it as uncharacterized. Lineage: Eukaryota; Metazoa; Chordata; Mammalia; Artiodactyla; Delphinidae. The transcript has 3 exons. The record is from RefSeq and is a predicted model, not a curated record.
GGCCGAGGCCGGGCCCCCCCCACCGCCAGGCCUGGGGGCCCGGGGUCACUGGGGGAAACAGGCCGCGGUCUUCUGGGCCAGCUAGGCCUGAGAUGGCCUCAUCAGCCGGGCACCCGCCUCCCUCCUGCCCGGGUGGCUGGCCCCAGCUGCCGGCAAGAAGGAAUCUCCCUUAGCCCCGCCCCUCCCCCAGUCUGACACAGGGAGACAGUGGCCAAUGCCAGGCCGCUGGGGUAAUGUCAACAAACAAUCCGCUGGCCCAGACAGGUGGUCCAGGCCGGCAGGGCUGCCCUGAGCCUGCGCUGGGGACAGGACUCACCGUCGCGGCCGCUGGGCCAGACACCCCCGAGGGCCACGCUGUAGCCAGACCUCCCUCGGUGGACCUGCGCUGGCGCCCCUUGCACUCAGGUGGCGGGGGAAGGACAGAAAGCCAGGUUUCCUGUGAGCGGAGCGCCCUCGCCCAUCACCCGCUCCCCCUGCUGCUGAGGCCAGCUCACCUUGAGGAUCUUGAUCUCCUUCCCCAGGAGAGUCUGCGACUUGGCCAGGGAACACGGAUUCAAACCCUGGUCCCGGAAGAUCCCAUAUGCGUCAGAGCAACUAAGCCCAUGCACCACAAAUACUGAACCUGCACUGUAGAGCCCACGAGCCACAACUACUGAAGCCCACGCGCCUAGAGCCCAUACUCCGCAACAAGAGAAGCCACCGCAAUGAGAAACCUGCGCACCGCAACGAAGAGUAGCCCCCACUCGCCACAACUAGAGAAAGGCCGCGCACAGCAACGAAGAUCCAGUGCAGCCAAAAAUAAAUAAAUAAAUUAAUUAAUUAAAAAA